Molecule: non-coding RNA, 24 nt
Filed under: Arabidopsis thaliana (thale cress)
Lineage: Eukaryota; Viridiplantae; Streptophyta; Magnoliopsida; Brassicales; Brassicaceae
Source: RNAcentral
GCCGAGACCCUUAAUCCCUUCAGG